UUAUUUGAGAGUUUGAUCCUGGCUCAGGACGAACGCUGGCGGCGUGCCUAAUACAUGCAAGUUGAGCGAUGAAGAUUGGUGCUUGCACCAAUUUGAAGAGCAGCGAACGGGUGAGUAACGCGUGGGGAAUCUGCCUUUGAGCGGGGGACAACAUUUGGAAACGAAUGCUAAUACCGCAUAACAACUUUAAACAUAAGUUUUAAGUUUGAAAGAUGCAAUUGCAUCACUCAAAGAUGAUCCCGCGUUGUAUUAGCUAGUUGGUGAGGUAAAGGCUCACCAAGGCGAUGAUACAUAGCCGACCUGAGAGGGUGAUCGGCCACAUUGGGACUGAGACACGGCCCAAACUCCUACGGGAGGCAGCAGUAGGGAAUCUUCGGCAAUGGACGAAAGUCUGACCGAGCAACGCCGCGUGAGUGAAGAAGGUUUUCGGAUCGUAAAACUCUGUUGGUAGAGAAGAACGUUGGUGAGAGUGGAAAGCUCAUC
Molecule: non-coding RNA, 483 nt
Filed under: Lactococcus cremoris subsp. cremoris TIFN6
Lineage: Bacteria; Bacillati; Bacillota; Bacilli; Lactobacillales; Streptococcaceae
Description: Lactococcus lactis subsp. cremoris TIFN6 Bacterial small subunit ribosomal RNA
Rfam family: Bacterial small subunit ribosomal RNA
Source: Rfam by way of RNAcentral